AACCCCUACGCGUAAUGAAAGUGAACGCAGGUGAGAGCUUCGGCGCAUCAUCGACCGAUCCUGAUGUUCUCGGAUGGAUUUGAGUAAGAGCAUACGGGGCCGGACCCGAAAGAAGGUGAACUAUGCCUGUAUAGGGUGAAGCCAGAGGAAACUCUGGUGGAGGCUCGCAGCGGUUCUGACGUGCGAAUCGAUCGUCAAAUAUGG
This 204-nucleotide ribosomal RNA is filed under the name Austrarchaea sp. 1 HMW-2014. Its description in RNAcentral is "partial 28S ribosomal RNA". It matches the Rfam family "Eukaryotic large subunit ribosomal RNA", at positions 705 to 914 of the family's 3401-position model. Lineage: Eukaryota; Metazoa; Arthropoda; Arachnida; Araneae; Archaeidae. The record is from RNAcentral.